RNAcentral lists this ribosomal RNA (288 nucleotides) under uncultured bacterium. Its description in RNAcentral is "partial 16S ribosomal RNA". It matches the Rfam family "Bacterial small subunit ribosomal RNA", at positions 335 to 641 of the family's 1533-position model. The record is from RNAcentral.
GACCUACGGGGCGCAGCAGUGGGGGAUAUUGCACAAUGGGGGGAACCCUGAUGCAGCGACGCCGCGUGGGUGAAGGAGCGUUUCGGCGCGUAAAGCCCUAUCGGCAGGGAAGAAGAUGACGGUACCUGACCAAGAAGCCCCGGCUAACUACGUGCCAGCAGCCGCGGUAAUACGUAGGGGGCAAGCGUUAUCCGGAUUUACUGGGUGUAAAGGGAGCGUAGACGGCGGUGCAAGCCAGAUGUGAAAGCCCGGGGCUCAACCCCGGGACUGCAUUUUGAACUGUGCUGC